GCCGGGCACGGUGGCUCACGCCUGUAAUCCCAGCACUUUGGGAGGCCAAGGCGGGAGGAUCACAAGGCCAGGAGUUCAAGACGAGCCUAGCCAGGAUGGUGAAGCCCCAUCUCUACUAAAAAUACAAAAAAUUAGCCGGGCCUGGUGGCGGGCACCUGUAAUCCCAGCACUUUGGGAGNNNNNNNNNNCCAAAGUGCUGGGAUUACAGGUGCCCGCCACCAGGCCCGGCUAAUUUUUUGUAUUUUUAGUAGAGAUGGGGCUUCACCAUCCUGGCUAGGCUCGUCUUGAUCUCCUGACCUUGUGAUCCGCCCGCCUC
Non-coding RNA from Chlorocebus sabaeus (green monkey), 316 nucleotides. Lineage: Eukaryota; Metazoa; Chordata; Mammalia; Primates; Cercopithecidae. The record is from Rfam.